Molecule: ribosomal RNA, 433 nt
Filed under: uncultured bacterium
Lineage: Bacteria
Description: partial 16S ribosomal RNA
Rfam family: Bacterial small subunit ribosomal RNA
Source: RNAcentral
AACGAACGCUGGCGGCAGGCCUAACACAUGCAAGUCGAGCGCGCCCUUCGGGGUGAGCGGCGGACGGGUGAGUAACGCGUGGGAACGUGCCCUUCUCUGCGGAAUAGCCUCGGGAAACUGAGAGUAAUACCGCAUACGCCCUUUGGGGGAAAGAUUUAUCGGAGAAGGAUCGGCUCGCGUUGGAUUAGGUAGUUGGUGGGGUAAUGGCCCACCAAGCCGACGAUCCAUAGCUGGUUUGAGAGGAUGAUCAGCCACACUGGGACUGAGACACGGCCCAGCCUCCUACGGGAGGCAGCAGUGGGGAAUCUUAGACAAUGGGGGCAACCCUGAUCUAGCCAUGCCGCGUGAGUGAUGAAGGCCUUAGGGUUGUAAAGCUCUUUCAGCUGGGAAGAUAAUGACGGUACCAGCAGAAGAAGCCCCGGCUAACUCCGUG